UUGGCCUUUCUGAAAAGUUUGUGAUUUACGAAACACUAAUUACAUGUAUAAAGUUGUUGGAGUUUGUCCAUGGUGUAUAAAUAGGAAAAAGUUGAGGCGUGUGAUAAUAAUUCGUAAUUAGUGGAUACAAUUUUGCCUCGUUUAUCUCUCACAGUAUUCCGCGUGGCUCUGUCUAUCAGCCCUGUUGAGCGAUCCCCUGCCCUCUCUCCACCAAAUUCUUCAGAGUUGCAGGAUCAGGUAAAGAAGAAAGAAGAAAGAAAAGAAAACAGGCAUAGAUGGGGUUUGUGAUUGUGAUUUCGCUGCCACUACUACUAUUGGUCCUAAUCAUAGUGUUAGUUGCUUAUCUGCUACGAAGGAAUCGAGCUCGUAGUGUGCAAACACAAUACUACGGGCCUCCUGCUCCGCCAAUUGGUAGCGCCGCACUGUCAAUGGAGGGAAAAUCAUCACAGGUUUAGGAACUUACUGGGUCAAAGAUACAAAAGGUGAAUGUUGAUAGUGUCUACGAAUAUAUACUGUGAAUACAAAAACUUAUGUGAUAAGAGUGUCAGAUGUUUGUAUUCUGGAUGCGCUUAAUUUUGUGGUGGUUGAUAUCUCAUGUCUGUGAAAAACAGGAUAAAAAUGAAGUUAUUGGAGAAAAGUAAUUCUGAGAGGAGAAAGGAGUCCAAGUUGUGACUUAGUAAAGCAAUGUAGCUUAGUUAAGAGGAGUAAUUGGUGUUAGUGUGAGAAAUGUGACAAUUACUUUGAAACUGAGUGUUGUUGUUGUCCAUUAAUUUGUUAACUUGUUUUGGAUAGUGCAUGAA
Spinacia oleracea (spinach) is the source of this 800-nucleotide long non-coding RNA. RefSeq lists it as uncharacterized. NCBI's taxonomy places the organism in Eukaryota, Viridiplantae, Streptophyta, Magnoliopsida, Caryophyllales, Amaranthaceae. The record is from RefSeq and is a predicted model, not a curated record. The transcript has 2 exons.